Molecule: long non-coding RNA, 804 nt
Filed under: Marmota monax (woodchuck)
Lineage: Eukaryota; Metazoa; Chordata; Mammalia; Rodentia; Sciuridae
Source: RNAcentral
GGUACCUGUUUGGGCCACAGCAGCUGUUUGGGGUGAGGAUGGCUGGCCUCCUGGGUCAUCAGCUCAGCUCAGCUGAACAUGAUCCUUCUGGGCUGAGGUCAAGUGGGUGAAAUGACGGGGCUCUUCUCAGCCACCCCUGAGAGCACCUUACUACCAGCACCUCACUACCUAGAGCCAGCCCCUUGAGAUCCAGGUGAGCCUGGGCCAGAGAAAAAGCCCAUCUUGCAUAUAAACUGAGGCUCAGGAAGCCCCCGAAUGUGUUCACCAGUCUCUGCAGGAGAGAGCAAAGGUACAGCCCAGCCCUGCCUGGACCUGUCUCCUUCACAAGCCCACCCAAGGCCUGAUCCUCCAAAACUAGAUUUGCUGUGGAGGAACGGCACAGAGUCAAGCUACUUUCAGGCUCUGCACCCCAGCUCCGUGCCCCAGUGCACCACUGAAAUGUCACAGAGACUUGUGCAGGAAGAGCAGCCUGUGUCUUUACAGGCAGGGUCAGGGCAACCAGAGGAACUGUGGGACCAGGCUGUGCAGUUGGACCCAACCAACCCACAUCUAUCACAUCCCCCCCAGCCAGCCUCGUAGAGGGAGGCUGUUGCCUGGGCACUGUGUGGCUCUUGAGGGUGCCCUGGGAGCCGGAGGCAGGUCUGGAAGGGGAGGCGGAAGCUCAAGGGAUGUGGUCUCAGCAGGUACCUGCUCUCAACCUGGAAACUGGAAGCUUGGGAAGUGGCCGCCCAACGAAGCCGAGCAGCUGACCGAGGUGAAGUUCUCAGGGGGCAGCCUCGGUCUCCUCCUCUGCACAGUGGGUCU